AGCGAACGCUGGCGGCGUGCUUAACACAUGCAAGUCGAGUGCGCAGCCGUCUGUAGCAAUACAGGCGGUGGGCGCACGGCGCACGGGUGCGUAACACGUGGGUAAUCUGCCCUCAAGUGGGGAAUAACCCGCCGAAAGGCGGGCUAAUACCGCAUAACACUUCUUGAACUUCGGUUUGAGAAUUCAAAGCUCGCAAGAGCGCUGGAGGAGGAACCCGCGGCCGAUUAGCUAGUUGGCGAGGUAAUGGCUCACCAAGGCUUUGAUCGGUAGCUGGUCU
This 277-nucleotide ribosomal RNA is filed under the name uncultured bacterium. Its description in RNAcentral is "partial 16S ribosomal RNA". It matches the Rfam family "Bacterial small subunit ribosomal RNA", at positions 29 to 293 of the family's 1533-position model. The record is from RNAcentral.